AGAGUUUGAUCCUGGCUCAGGAUGAACGCUGGCGGCGUGCUUAACACAUGCAAGUCGAACGAAGCACUCUAUUUGAUUUUCUUCGGAAAUGAAGAUUUUGUGACUGAGUGGCGGACGGGUGAGUAACGCGUGGGUAACCUGCCUCAUACAGGGGGAUAACAGUUGGAAACGACUGCUAAUACCGCAUAAGCGCACAGGAUUGCAUGAUCCGGUGUGAAAAACUCCGGUGGUAUGAGAUGGACCCGCGUCUGAUUAGCCAGUUGGCAGGGUAACGGCCUACCAAAGCGACGAUCAGUAGCCGACCUGAGAGGGUGACCGGCCACAUUGGGACUGAGACACGGCCCAAACUCCUACGGGAGGCAGCAGUGGGGAAUAUUGCACAAUGGGCGAAAGCCUGAUGCAGCGACGCCGCGUGAGCGAAGAAGUAUUUCGGUAUGUAAAGCUCUAUCAGCAGGGAAGAUAAUGACGGUACCUGACUAAGAAGCACCGGCUAAAUACGUGCCAGCAGCCGCGGUAAUACGUAUGGUGCAAGCGUUAUCCGGAUUUACUGGGUGUAAAGGGAGCGCAGGCGGUGCGGCAAGUCAGAUGUGAAAACCCGGGGCUCAACCCCGGGACUGCAUUGGAAACUGUUCAUCUAGAGUGCUGGAGAGGUAAGUGGAAUUCCUAGUGUAGCGGUGAAAUGCGUAGAUAUUAGGAGGAACACCAGUGGCGAAGGCGGCUUACUGGACAGUAACUGACGUUGAGGCUCGAAAGCGUGGGGAGCAAACAGGAUUAGAUACCCUGGUAGUCCACGCCGUAAACGAUGACUACUAGGUGUCGGGUGGCAAAGCCAUUCGGUGCCGCAGCAAACGCAAUAAGUAGUCCACCUGGGGAGUACGUUCGCAAGAAUGAAACUCAAAGGAAUUGACGGGGACCCGCAC
This 920-nucleotide ribosomal RNA is filed under the name uncultured bacterium. Its description in RNAcentral is "bacterial SSU rRNA". It matches the Rfam family "Bacterial small subunit ribosomal RNA", at positions 8 to 926 of the family's 1533-position model. The record is from RNAcentral.